AAGGAUCAUUAACGAGUUAGGGUCUCUCAGGCCCGACCUCCCAACCCCAUGUUUACUAAACCACCGUUGCUUCGGCGGGCCCGUCUUCAUUGACCGCCGGGGGACCGUCAAAACGUUCUCUGGCCCGCGCCCGUCGAUGGCCAACCUUAACAAAUUCUUAAAUAAACAUGUCUACUUCUGAGUACCAUUUUUAAUUAAAACAAAACUUUCAACAACGGAUCUCUUGGUUCUG
This 232-nucleotide unclassified non-coding RNA is filed under the name uncultured fungus. RNAcentral's name for it is "partial contains 18S rRNA, ITS1, 5.8S rRNA, ITS2 and 28S rRNA". Lineage: Eukaryota; Fungi. The record is from RNAcentral.